Molecule: ribosomal RNA, 501 nt
Filed under: uncultured bacterium
Lineage: Bacteria
Description: bacterial SSU rRNA
Rfam family: Bacterial small subunit ribosomal RNA
Source: RNAcentral
GAACGCUAGCGACAGGCUUAACACAUGCAAGUCGAGGGCAGCAUAAAAGUAGCAAUACUUGGUGGCGACCGGCGCACGGGUGAGUAACGCGUAUGCAACCUACCUAUACAGGAGGGGAAUAACCCGGCGAAAGUCGGACUAAUACCGCAUAAAACAGGGGCACCGCAUGGUGAUAUUUGUUAAAGAAAUUCGCUGAUAGAUGGGCAUGCGUUCCAUUAGGUAGUUGGUGAGGUAACGGCUCACCAAGCCGACGAUGGAUAGGGGAACUGAGAGGUUGGUCCCCCACACUGGUACUGAGACACGGACCAGACUCCUACGGGAGGCAGCAGUGAGGAAUAUUGGUCAAUGGGCGGGAGCCUGAACCAGCCAAAGUCGCGUGAAGGAAGAAGGAUCUAUGGUUCGUAAACUUCUUUUCGGGAGGGGAACAACCGUGGCAGGGAAUGGCCGCGGGAUGACGUGAAUCCCGGAAUAAGCCCCGGCUAACUACGUGCCAGCCGCGGC